This 773-nucleotide ribosomal RNA is filed under the name uncultured Neocallimastigales. RNAcentral describes it as "partial large subunit ribosomal RNA". It matches the Rfam family "Eukaryotic large subunit ribosomal RNA", at positions 20 to 616 of the family's 3401-position model. The record is from RNAcentral. Lineage: Eukaryota; Fungi; Neocallimastigomycota; Neocallimastigomycetes; Neocallimastigales.
UACUAGAGUAGCACUCGCAUAUCAAUAAGCGGAGGAAAAGAAACUAACAAGGAUUCCCCUAGUAACGGCGAGUGAAGCGGGAAGAGCUCAAAUUUGAAAUCUUAAAGGGUUUCCCUUUACGAAUUGUAGUUUAAAGAAGUGUUUUCUGUUGAGGUUUUGGUAAAAGUUCUUUGGAAUAGGACAUCAUAGAGGGUGAGAAUCCCGUAUUUGACCUUUACUUUCAACUUUGUGAUACACUUUCAAAGAGUCGGAUUGUUUGGGAAUGCAGUCCAAAAUGGGUGGUAAAUUUCAUCUAAAGCUAAAUAUUGGCGAGAGACCGAUAGCGAACAAGUACCGUGAGGGAAAGAUGAAAAGAACUUUGAAAAGAGAGUUAAACAGUACGUGAAAUUGUCAAAAGGGAAGCGUUUGACACCAGUGUUGUUUUUCUGAAAAUCGAUUAAAGAACUGUUUAUGCUAAGUUGUUUAGACUUUAUCAGCUAACUGUUUAGUUUUGAGCUUUUCUUUAAUGCACUUUUCAGUUAACAAGUCAACAUCAAUUUCUUUUGCUGUAAAAAAGCUUGAGGAAGGUGGCUUGAGAUUCGUCUUAAGUGUUUAUAGCCUCUUGCCUAUGCAGUCGGAGAGAUUGAGGUCUGCAGCGUAGAUCCUUCGGGGCUAAAUGCAUUUGUGCUAAGUUAUAGCAUUUAUAGACAACUUGUUGACUAUGAUUUGUCUUGUAGCUUACUCGCUUAUGUUAUUUUACCUACGCUUAGGAUGUUGAGCGCAUGUCUCUCUCU